CCUACGGGCGACAGCAGUGAGGAAUAUUGGUCAAUGGGCGCUAGCCUGAACCAGCCAAGUAGCGUGAAGGAUGACUGCCCUAUGGGUUGUAAACUUCUUUUAUAUGGGAAUAAAGUGCACUAUGUAUACUGCUUUGCAUGUACCUUAUGAAUAAGGAUCGGCUAACUCCGUGCCAGCAGCCGCGGUAAUACGGAGGAUCCGAGCGUUAUCCGGAUUUAUUGGGUUUAAAGGGAGCGUAGGCGGGUUGUUAAGUCAGUUGUGAAAGUUUGCGGCUCAACCGUAAAAUUGCAGUUGAUACUGGCAGCCUUGAGUACAGUAGAGGUAGGCGGAAUUCGUGGUGUAGCGGUGAAAUGCUUAGAUAUCACGAAGAACUCCGAUUGCGAAGGCAGCCUGCUGGACUGUAACUGACGCUGAUGCUCGAAAGUGUGGGUAUCAAACAGGAUUAGAUACCCUUGUAGUC
RNAcentral lists this ribosomal RNA (460 nucleotides) under uncultured bacterium. RNAcentral describes it as "partial 16S ribosomal RNA". It matches the Rfam family "Bacterial small subunit ribosomal RNA", at positions 338 to 795 of the family's 1533-position model. The record is from RNAcentral.